This 709-nucleotide ribosomal RNA is filed under the name uncultured delta proteobacterium SA71. RNAcentral describes it as "bacterial SSU rRNA". It matches the Rfam family "Bacterial small subunit ribosomal RNA", at positions 649 to 1356 of the family's 1533-position model. Lineage: Bacteria; Deltaproteobacteria. The record is from RNAcentral.
CGUAGAGGGGUGUGGAAUUCCUGGUGUAACGGUGAAAUGCGUCAAUAUCAGCAGGAACACCAGUGGCGAAGGCGACCACCUGGGACGGUACUGACGCUGAGGAACGAAAGCAUGGGUAUCAAACGGGAUUAGAUACCCCGGUAGUCCAUGCUGUAAACGAUGGGCACUAGAUGUCGGAGGAGCUUGACCCCUUCGGUGUCGCAGCUAACGCAUUAAGUGCCCCACCUGGGGAGUACGAUCGCAAGGUUGAAACUCAAAGGAAUUGACGGGGGCCCGCACAAGCGGUGGAGCAUGUGGUUUAAUUCGAUGCAACGCGAAGAACCUUACCUGGGCUUGACAUGCAGGAGACAGCCGUGAAACACGGGUUUCCUUCGGGGUUCCUAGCGACAGGUGCUGCAUGGCUGUCGUCAGCUCGUGUCGUGAAAUGUUGGGUUAAGUCCCGCAACGAGCGCAACCCUUGUCCUUAGUUGCCAUCAGGUUAUGCUGGGAACUCUAAGGAGACUGCCGGUGACAAACCGGAGGAAGGUGGGGACGACGUCAAGUCAUCAUGGCCCUUACGUCCAGGGCUACACACGUGCUACAAUGGCCUAUACAAUGAGCUGCAAUACCGCGAGGUGGAGCGAAUCUCAAAAAGUCGGUCUCAGUUCGGAUUGGAGUCUGCAACUCGACUCCAUAAAGCUGGAAUCGCUAGUAAUCGCGCAUCAGCUUG